AUAAUUGUCUUUCUCAAAAAUUUGUAUUACCAAGUUUAACUUCUUGCCAAACUAGCUUUGCCCUCAUGACUAACACAUAAAGAGAAUGUGAUUUGGAAUUUUUGCUUGGCAGUAAAUCCCAUUUGAUGACACUAGCAAACUGUCGAGCAGGUUGUUUGCAUGUCCAGAUUUGGCGAGAUCUGGCUUGGUCCAAAUAUUACAUUGGGGAACUUCUUCCCGG
This 220-nucleotide long non-coding RNA is filed under the name Hordeum vulgare. RNAcentral describes it as "long non-coding RNA (HVUL_LNC002687)". Lineage: Eukaryota; Viridiplantae; Streptophyta; Magnoliopsida; Poales; Poaceae. The record is from RNAcentral.